RNAcentral lists this ribosomal RNA (433 nucleotides) under uncultured bacterium. Its description in RNAcentral is "bacterial SSU rRNA". It matches the Rfam family "Bacterial small subunit ribosomal RNA", at positions 29 to 507 of the family's 1533-position model. The record is from RNAcentral.
AGCGAACGCUGGCGGCAGGCCUAACACAUGCAAGUCGAACGAACCCUUCGGGGUUAGUGGCGGACGGGUGAGUAACACGUGGGAACGUACCUUUAGGUUCGGAACAACACAGGGAAACUUGUGCUAAUGCCGAAUGUGCCCUUCGGGGGAAAGAUUUAUCGCCUUUAGAGCGGCCCGCGUCUGAUUAGCUUGUUGGUGAGGUAAAGGCUCACCAAGGCUACGAUCAGUAGCUGGUCUGAGAGGAUGAUCAGCCACACUGGGACUGAGACACGGCCCAGACUCCUACGGGAGGCAGCAGUGGGGAAUCUUGCGCAAUGGGCGAAAGCCUGACGCAGCCAUGCCGCGUGAAUGAUGAAGGUCUUAGGAUUGUAAAAUUCUUUCACCGGGGAAGAUAAUGACGGUACCCGGAGAAGAAGCCCCGGCUAACUUCGUG